Molecule: ribosomal RNA, 563 nt
Filed under: uncultured bacterium
Lineage: Bacteria
Description: partial 16S ribosomal RNA
Rfam family: Bacterial small subunit ribosomal RNA
Source: RNAcentral
UGGGGAAUAUUGCACAAUGGGCGAAAGCCUGAUGCAGCAACGCCGCGUGAGUGAUGAAGGCCUUCGGGUUGUAAAGCUCUGUCUUUUGGGACGAUAAUGACGGUACCAAAGGAGGAAGCCACGGCUAACUACGUGCCAGCAGCCGCGGUAAUACGUAGGUGGCAAGCGUUGUCCGGAUUUACUGGGCGUAAAGGAUGCGUAGGCGGAUUUUUAAGUGAGAUGUGAAAACCCUAAGCUUAACUUGGGGACUGCAUUUCAUACUGGAAAUCUAGAGUGCGGGAGAGGAGAAUGGAAUUCCUAGUGUAGCGGUGAAAUGCGUAGAGAUUAGGAAGAACACCAGUGGCGAAGGCGAUUCUCUGGACCGUAACUGACGCUGAGGCAUGAAAGCGUGGGUAGCAAACAGGAUUAGAUACCCUGGUAGUCCACGCCGUAAACGAUGAGUACUAGGUGUAGGAGGUAUCGACCCCUUCUGUGCCGCAGUUAACACAAUAAGUACUCCGCCUGGGAAGUACGAUCGCAAGAUUAAAACUCAAAUGAAUUGACGGGGUCAUAGCUGUUUCCCG